Long non-coding RNA from Centruroides sculpturatus (bark scorpion), 292 nucleotides. RefSeq lists it as uncharacterized. The record is from RefSeq and is a predicted model, not a curated record. Lineage: Eukaryota; Metazoa; Arthropoda; Arachnida; Scorpiones; Buthidae. The transcript is spliced from 3 exons.
CGUCGUUUCAAGAUAUUAGAAGAUUCGCUGAUUGUGACCUCGAAUUAGAACAGAAAUUAAAGAUUCUGAAUUUCAUGAAGAGAUUUGGUAAAGAAUCUUUGUGUUUGACUGUUAGAGAUUACUUCAAAGUGACUAAAAAGUUUCCCAUAAAAAUGGGAAGUUCUCUUCAUUCCAUAUUUUCUGGUAUUCUAAAUCUAAAUGAAUACUUAAUUGAGAGAAAUUAAUGAUUUUGAAAGACUCUCUUGCCUUGAAUUCCCGUCAAAAAUAGUAAUUUUCAAAAAACUUAGCAAUU